GAUGCUCGAUGACUCCGAUUUCCACAGGCUCCUCAUAUAGACGUUGUGUUCUCAUUGCUCAAAGCUAGCACUGCCAUGGCAACCUAAAGCCAGAGUAAAUGUCCACGAGGCCGGUUCACGGAGAAGAGCGAAGUCUUGGCGUUUGGAGUGAUCAGUCUCCAAAUGCUGUCAGGGAAGCAGAAAGUAGAUCACUCCAAGCGUCUGGCGAAGGGAAAAGUGCAGCAACUUUAGCGGCUUGCCGAACUUUGGCUGAAGAACUCACAGAAUCACGAUUUCCAGCUCCUAGAAUAUUGGCAUUUAAGGAGGGAAGCUGUACAUAGUGAAUGAGAAGAAUGAUUCUGAAUCAAGGGGUUCAAAGUCUAUAUCCAUAUUGGAUGGUCUAAUUUCUGGUAACACG
Long non-coding RNA from Eucalyptus grandis, 397 nucleotides. RefSeq lists it as uncharacterized. The record is from RefSeq and is a predicted model, not a curated record. NCBI's taxonomy places the organism in Eukaryota, Viridiplantae, Streptophyta, Magnoliopsida, Myrtales, Myrtaceae. The transcript has 3 exons.